GGGCCCGUAGCUCAGCUGGGAGAGCGCUGCGUUCGCAACGCAGAGGCCAAGGGUUCGAGUCCCUCCGGGUCCACCA
This 76-nucleotide transfer RNA is filed under the name Tissierellia bacterium. RNAcentral describes it as "tRNA-Ala". It matches the Rfam family "tRNA". Rfam says of the family: Transfer RNA (tRNA) molecules are approximately 80 nucleotides in length. The record is from RNAcentral. Lineage: Bacteria; Bacillati; Bacillota; Tissierellia.